Jatropha curcas is the source of this 1045-nucleotide non-coding RNA. Lineage: Eukaryota; Viridiplantae; Streptophyta; Magnoliopsida; Malpighiales; Euphorbiaceae. The record is from RefSeq and is a predicted model, not a curated record.
CCUCAUCUUCUCCUCCUCUUCUUCUUUCUUCUUUCUCUUCUUUUCUUUCUUUCCUUCUCCUUUCUCUUCUGCGUUUCUGCUACUGGCGAGAGACAGCCACAACGAACCGCGACUCCACCAGGCCAGGACGGAUCUUCACCAGGACGGAUCUUCAUCGCGGCGCCGUCACCACUGCCGCUCGAUCUCUCUCCCUUGCGUUCAUCCUCAGGAAACUCAGUGGCUCCGCCUGUGAUCCUCUGGCAGAUUGCGUCGCGCCAUCCCUCUCCAGUUUGCGAUCAAAGGAAACCAGCACCACCGAGCUCAGCCUUGUCGCACAGCCGCCAGUUCCACCACUUGCGUCACUGCUGUAGCUCAGCUCCUCCUGCGUCGAUCUCAGGUGAUCCAGCCGCUCCAGCAUAACUCCAGCCACCUGCUUGCAGUCUCAGUGCGCGAUCCGGCACUCAUAAAUCCCGAUCUAGCAAAAUCCGACAAGAAAAAUUAUAUUUGGGGGAGGUUUAUAAAAUUCCGAAAUGCGAGGACAAAGGCUGGAAGCAUGUGGCUAGAAGCAUGUGGCUAGAAAGGCAGUCUCCUUAGAGGAUAAUAAAGAACUGUGAAGGAGGAAUGAGACUUUAUUGUCUUUCAUUCCACGGAGGAAUUAGACUUUAUUGUCUUAAAUCAGGAUUCUCAUAUGUUGCCUAGCAAAUUUCUCAAAGUCAUUUAUAAUAGAAGAAACAUCGGUUAAGCACAAAAGAUGAAGAGACCAUCUGAUUCUGUUUUAGUGUUUGGUUAGCAUUCAAUGUAAAUGUGGCCUUUGCAUGACUUAAAAUCAAACUAGGAACAGACCUUUCUUCUUUUACUCUUUGUUCAAAUCUUUCCAUGAGUUACAUAAAUGUAGCUCCCGCUAUGUUCUGAGACCAAGUAACUUCUUUUCCCAUAUUACUUCUAGUCAGUUAGUACAUGAGAUUUUAAAUCAUUGGGUGUCCAAGAGAUUUUUCGUAUUAGAGAAAACGUUUAGCUAAGUGAAGUGUAUCAAGCGAAUGAUGAGGCACUAUUAAUUUUUAAAUCA